AAAUUGAAGAGUUUGAUCAUGGCUCAGAUUGAACGCUGGCGGCAGGCCUAACACAUGCAAGUCGAACGGUAACAGGAAGAAGCUUGCUUCUUUGCUGACGAGUGGCGGACGGGUGAGUAAUGUCUGGGAAACUGCCUGAUGGAGGGGGAUAACUACUGGAAACGGUAGCUAAUACCGCAUAACGUCGCAAGACCAAAGAGGGGGACCUUCGGGCCUCUUGCCAUCGGAUGUGCCCAGAUGGGAUUAGCUAGUAGGUGGGGUAAAGGCUCACCUAGGCGACGAUCCCUAGCUGGUCUGAGAGGAUGACCAGCCACACUGGAACUGAGACACGGUCCAGACUCCUACGGGAGGCAGCAGUGGGGAAUAUUGCACAAUGGGCGCAAGCCUGAUGCAGCCAUGCCGCGUGUAUGAAGAAGGCCUUCGGGUUGUAAAGUACUUUCAGCGGGGAGGAAGGGAGUAAAGUUAAUACCUUUGCUCAUUGACGUUACCCGCAGAAGAAGCACCGGCUAACUCCGUGCCAGCAGCCGCGGUAAUACGGAGGGUGCAAGCGUUAAUCGGAAUUACUGGGCGUAAAGCGCACGCAGGCGGUUUGUUAAGUCAGAUGUGAAAUCCCCGGGCUCAACCUGGGAACUGCAUCUGAUACUGGCAAG
RNAcentral lists this ribosomal RNA (650 nucleotides) under Escherichia coli. Its description in RNAcentral is "bacterial SSU rRNA". It matches the Rfam family "Bacterial small subunit ribosomal RNA", at positions 1 to 640 of the family's 1533-position model. Lineage: Bacteria; Pseudomonadati; Pseudomonadota; Gammaproteobacteria; Enterobacterales; Enterobacteriaceae. The record is from RNAcentral.